This 584-nucleotide ribosomal RNA is filed under the name uncultured bacterium. Its description in RNAcentral is "bacterial SSU rRNA". It matches the Rfam family "Bacterial small subunit ribosomal RNA", at positions 338 to 943 of the family's 1533-position model. The record is from RNAcentral.
CCUACGGGAGGCAGCAGUGGGGAAUUUUCCGCAAUGGGCGAAAGCCUGACGGAGCAAUACCGCGUGAGGGAGGAAGGCUCUUGGGUUGUAAACCUCUUUUUUCAGGGAAGAUAAUGACGGUACCUGAGGAAUAAGCAUCGGCUAACUCCGUGCCAGCAGCCGCGGUAAUACGGAGGAUGCAAGCGUUAUCCGGAAUGAUUGGGCGUAAAGCGUCCGCAGGUGGUUUUAAAAGUCUGUUGUUAAAGCGUGAGGCUUAACCUCAUAAGGGCAAUGGAAACUGUAAGACUAGAGUACGUUCGGGGCAAGGGGAAUUCCCAGUGUAGCGGUGAAAUGCGUAGAGAUUGGGAAGAACACCGGUGGCGAAAGCGCCUUGCUAGGCCGUAACUGACACUGAGGGACGAAAGCUAGGGGAGCGAAUGGGAUUAGAUACCCCAGUAGUCCUAGCCGUAAACGAUGGAUACUAGGCGUUGUCUGUAUCGACCCGGACAGUGCCGUAGCUAACGCGUUAAGUAUCCCGCCUGGGGAGUACGCACGCAAGUGUGAAACUCAAAGGAAUUGACGGCUGAGANNCAGCGCACGAGGAG